UGAGACUUACUGAACAAUUAAAGGCAUGCCCUUUACAAAGAAUUCAAAGAGGUGCCAAGCAUGUUGAUGAUGGUGCGGUAACAGGAAUCUUCACAUGUGAAAUCAGCACGCAGGCUGACACCAUUCUUGACAUUGUCACCACCCAGACGAUGCGAGAGCUUUUGUGCACUGAAGCCGGCUAUUCCACUUGGGUUACUAAUGUCGUAUUUGCUGUCACCAUGGCAUUCCAUAUCUGGAUUUGACGCUUGGGGCUGUGCGCAGUUUUCAAAUGUCACAAGUUGAGACUUUUGGAACUUUGAGGUGCCAGAGCAGUACCGAAUAGCCCUCCUCAAUUUAACUUGACUACCACCCGCCCUGCAUAAAUAACAGGCUGCGACAAUGGAUUUAAUGUUAGUUUUCUUUUGGUUUCAACUUCAUUAUCAUUGUAAAUUUGAAUGUUUAAAAUAAUUUUCAUAUCAUCUCUUACUUUUUCAUUUUUUCACUUGGUUUUGACAUUUUUUUUGUAUUUACCUAAUUGAAAAAUAAACUUUGACUUGUUGUUGCCUUU
Molecule: long non-coding RNA, 547 nt
Organism: Hippocampus zosterae (dwarf seahorse)
Lineage: Eukaryota; Metazoa; Chordata; Actinopteri; Syngnathiformes; Syngnathidae
Exons: 2
Source: RefSeq, a predicted model, not a curated record